AUUGAACGCUGGCGGCAUGCCUUACACAUGCUAGUCGAACGGUAACGGGUCCUUCGGGAUGCCGACGAGUGGCGAACGGGUGAGUAAUAUAUCGGAACGUGCCCAGUAGUGGGGGAUAACUGCUCGAAAGAGCGGCUAAUACCGCAUACGACCUGAGGGUGAAAGGGGGGGAUGGGAAGACCUCUCGCUAUUGGAGCGGCCGAUAUCAGAUUAGCUAGUUGGUGGGGUAAAGGCCUACCAAGGCAACGAUCUGUAGUUGGUCUGAGAGGACGACCAGCCACACUGGGACUGAGACACGACCCAGACUCCUACGGGAGGCAGCAGUGGGGAAUUUUGGACAAUGGGCGCAAGCCUGAUCCAGCAAUGCCGCGUGCAGGAAGAAGGCCUUCGGGUUGUAAACUGCUUUUGUCAGGGAAGAAAUCUUCUGGGCUAAUACCCCGGGAGGAUGACGGUACCUGAAGAAUAAGCACCGGCUAACUACGUGCCAGCCGCCGCGGUAA
This 500-nucleotide ribosomal RNA is filed under the name uncultured bacterium. RNAcentral's name for it is "partial 16S ribosomal RNA". It matches the Rfam family "Bacterial small subunit ribosomal RNA", at positions 30 to 523 of the family's 1533-position model. The record is from RNAcentral.